UGAGGAAUAUUGGUCAAUGGGCGAGAGCCUGAACCAGCCAAGUCGCGUGAAGGAAGAAGGAUCUAUGGUUCGUAAACUUCUUUUUUAGGGGAAUAAAGUGCGGUACGUGUACCGUUUUGUAUGUACCCUACGAAUAAGGAUCGGCUAACUCCGUGCCAGCAGCCGCGGUAAUACGGAGGAUCCGAGCGUUAUCCGGAUUUAUUGGGUUUAAAGGGUGCGUAGGCGGAAGAAUAAGUCAGUGGUGAAAGUUUGCAGCUCAACUGUAAAAUUGCCGUUGAAACUGUUUUUCUUGAGUGUAAAUGAGGUAGGCGGAAUGUGUUGUGUAGCGGUGAAAUGCUUAGAUAUGACACAGAACACCGAUUGCGAAGGCAGCUUACUAAGAUACAACUGACGCUGAGGCACGAAAGCGUGGGGAUCGAACA
RNAcentral lists this ribosomal RNA (422 nucleotides) under uncultured bacterium. RNAcentral's name for it is "bacterial SSU rRNA". It matches the Rfam family "Bacterial small subunit ribosomal RNA", at positions 355 to 774 of the family's 1533-position model. The record is from RNAcentral. RNAcentral also lists the same sequence under 1 other name.